CCUACCUACGGGGGGCAGCAGUGGGGAAUAUUGCACAAUGGGCGAAAGCCUGAUGCAACAACGCCGCGUGGAGGAAGAAGGUUUUCGGAUUGUAAACUCCUUUUAUCAGGGACGAUAAUGACGGUACCUGAAGAAAAAGCUCCGGCUAACUACGUGCCAGCAGCCGCGGUAAUACGUAGGGAGCGAGCGUUGUCCGGAAUUACUGGGUGUAAAGGGAGCGUAGGCGGGACGGCAAGUCAGAUGUGAAAACUGAGGGCUCAACUUUCAGACUGCAUUUGAAACUGCUGUUCUUGAGUGAAGUAGAG
This 305-nucleotide ribosomal RNA is filed under the name uncultured bacterium. RNAcentral's name for it is "bacterial SSU rRNA". It matches the Rfam family "Bacterial small subunit ribosomal RNA", at positions 334 to 656 of the family's 1533-position model. The record is from RNAcentral.